GAUACAUGCAAGUCGAACGCACUGACGUCGACCGAAGCUGCUUGCAGUGGACGUUGAUUGACGUGAGUGGCGGACGGGUGAGUAACACGUGGGUAACCUACCCUUAAGUGGGGGAUAACAUUUGGAAACAGAUGCUAAUACCGCAUAACCAUUCAGACCACAUGGUCUGAAUGUAAAAGACGGCCUUUGGCUGUCACUUUUGGACGGACCCGCGGCGUAUUAGUUAGUUGGUAAGGUAACGGCUUACCAAGACAAUGAUACGUAGCCGACCUGAGAGGGUAAUCGGCCACAUUGGGACUGAGACACGGCCCAAACUCCUACGGGAGGCAGCAGUAGGGAAUCUUCCACAAUGGACGAAAGUCUGAUGGAGCAACGCCGCGUGAGUGAAGAAGGUUUUAGGAUCGUAAAACUCUGUUGUUGGAGAAGAACAGGGACUAGAGUAACUGUUAGUCCUUUGACGGUAUCCAACCAGAAAGCCACGGCUAACUACGUGCCAGCAGCCGCGGUAAUACGUAGGUGGCAAGCGUUGUCCGGGAUUUAUUGGGCGUAAAGCGAGCGCAGGCGGUUUUUUAAGUCUGAUGUGAAAGCCUUCGGCUUAACCGAAGAAGUGCAUUAGAAACUGGGAAACUUGAGUGCAGAAGAGGACAGUGGAACUCCAUGUGUAGCGGUGAAAUGCGUAGAUAUAUGGAAGAACACCAGUGGCGAAGGCGGCUGUCUGGUCUGUAACUGACGCUGAGGCUCGAAAGUAUGGGGAGCGAACAGGAUUAGAUACCCUGGUAGUCCAUACCGUAAACGAUGAAUGCUAAGUGUUGGAGGGUUUCCGCCCUUCAGUGCUGCAGCUAACGCAUUAAGCAUUCCGCCUGGGGAGUACGACCGCAAGGUUGAAACUCAAAGGAAUUGACGGGGGCCCGCACAAGCGGUGGAGCAUGUGGUUUAAUUCGAAGCAACGCGAAGAACCUUACCAGGUCUUGACAUCCCUUUGACCACUGUAGAGAUACAGCUUUCCCUUCGGGGACAAAGUGACAGGUGGUGCAUGGUUGUCGUCAGCUCGUGUCGUGAGAUGUUGGGUUAAGUCCCGCAACGAGCGCAACCCUUAUGACUAGUUGCCAGCAUUUAGUUGGGCACUCUAGUAAGACUGCCGGUGACAAACCGGAGGAAGGUGGGGAUGACGUCAAAUCAGCAUGCCCCUUAUGACCUGGGCUACACACGUGCUACAAUGGUCGGUACAACGAGUUGCGAACCCGCGAGGGUAAGCUAAUCUCUUAAAGCCGAUCUCAGUUCGGAUUGUAGGCUGCAACUCGCCUACAUGAAGCCGGAAUCGCUAGUAAUCGCGGAUCAGCACGCCGCGGUGAAUACGUUCCCGGGCCUUGUACACACCGCCCGUCACACCAUGAGAGUUUGUAACACCCGAAGUCGGUGGGGUAACCCUUUUAGGGAACUAGCCGCCUAAGGUGGAUCCGG
This 1461-nucleotide ribosomal RNA is filed under the name Lacticaseibacillus rhamnosus. RNAcentral describes it as "bacterial SSU rRNA". It matches the Rfam family "Bacterial small subunit ribosomal RNA". The record is from RNAcentral. Lineage: Bacteria; Bacillati; Bacillota; Bacilli; Lactobacillales; Lactobacillaceae.